This is a long non-coding RNA of Sinocyclocheilus rhinocerous, 271 nucleotides long. RefSeq lists it as uncharacterized. The record is from RefSeq and is a predicted model, not a curated record. Lineage: Eukaryota; Metazoa; Chordata; Actinopteri; Cypriniformes; Cyprinidae. The transcript has 3 exons.
UGCGCUGUGACUCUCUGAAGCUGCUGGCCGAUGUCUCCACCGACAUCACAUUCGCUCAAGAGUUUAUCAGCCGUGAUGGACACUCCCUGCUCGUCAAGAUAGUAGAGGACGCUCACGAGGCUCCUCUGAUAAUGACACACACUCUUACUGCUUUCAUGGAGCUCAUGGAUCAUGGCAUUGUGUCCUGGGAGAAUCUGUCCAGUGUCUUUAUCAAAAAGAUCGCCGGUUUUGUGAAUGCAAAGGUUCUAGACACGUCUAUCCAGCAGGUGUC